UGAACACAUCAUGAAAUCAGAGUCCCGUUGCAGUCAGUUGUGAAACCAAACUUCUUUGAACAACAAAUUUCAGCAGUGCUGUUAUCUAAAAGUUGGAGACAAAGGAAUCCUUUGCUUUCUUUCAAGAUAAUCUUAAUUAACCUGGUGAAAUAACCAUGCCAUCUUCCUAAGCAGAUAGAAUCUAUGCCACUAAUGAUAUGUGAACGCAGACUGAAGAUUUACCCUCAGAUGAGACACUUCUUGGAUCUCUCUCUUUUGGUCACUGUUUUCAUGACAAAUGUUCUACUACUGCUCAACUCCAAGGCUAUUUUUUCUCUUUACCAUCUGCUUUUUCUACUAUAGGAGUAGUCCUCAAGAUGUCAUGAACUUGCUUUGUGGUACCACACAUUUGAAUUGCUGACCUUGCAGUGACAGUACUUGUGAGAUUUGCAGAUCAUUUUAUGCAGUCAUUAAAUUGAUUGCUGUGAAAGUUUCUGAACAUCUGAGUCUUCACCAAAAGCAACCUCAAACCCAUUACUCAUUAACUGCAUUUGCUUUAUAGCACUUAUAGCUUGGAAACAGCACUGAAGGUAUACUAGGAAUUUCAGUUCAUUCCUCUUGCAAAAGACAGUGGAACAACUCUAUCCUGCUACAUAAGGUCUAUCCCUUCAUAUACUCUAUUGGAACUGAAAUAAACCCAGAAUGUGCCAUGCACUUUCCACAGAAGAAUGGAAUGUCCUUUAGCAUUAGAACAAGGAUUCCAACUAGCCACAAAAGGUAUUCUAUAUUUAGAAAAGACACUUCCAUACCUGAGGCUAUUUUGAAGAAGUCUGUCUUGGAAAAUAGUGGAGAGUGUGCAGGAGAUAUGGGGAGCCCUUUUAUUUAUUUUUUUUUUUUUUUGGCUUGCUGUUAAGCUGGGUCUAUCUUAAGGCACCCAUUAGAAGUUGAUAGGACAGAUGAAUGAGCAUGCUGCUAAAACACCUGAAUGGGGAAUACUAGUGAGAUAGCUCAGCAGGAGCAUGGAUGAGAAAGAGAGACCAGGUCAUAGUGACAGGAGUGGUAAUGCUAUUGUGUUUUCUGAACAAAAAGUAAAGCUUAUGUGUCAAGAUCUGCAUGGAUUUAAACACUUCGUAUGGAAGGCUUUUUUUUUUUUCAACUAUGUUUUAAUGGCUCUAUUAGCACUUGCUAAAUUUUGAAUAUUGUUCAUUUAUGAUAUUUGCAAUCCACCCCCAUGACUCUUCUAUAGCUAGUCUAAUACAUGCUGUAUGUGUAUAAUUGCCCAUUAUUCCACUGAAAUUACAGGCAGUCACAUCAUGUGCAUUAUUUUAAAUGUAUUGUCAUCGCAUGUGUCAUAAAUUAUCAGCUUUGGAGCUACUAGCUGCAUGCUUCAGCAACAGCGGGAUUACUGGAUGAAUUCGAUGUGGAAUACGACAUAAAUAUUCAUGCAGAGACUGUACUCAUGUUCAUGAAGUGUUUUCAGACUUGAGGACUCCAUCAGUUGCCAACAUUUCUCAAAGAUGAGAACUACACAGAUAACUCCCUGGACAAUUAAUUAUUCAUUCAUUUUGCAUAAUCUUCAAGCUUAGUUUCAUCCGUUGUUUAAAAUGCAUGCAGAGAAAGCCUUUUGUUCUGGAGGAAGUGAAUAGCAGAUGAGAAGCUUCCUGGAAGACUGCAUCCUUUUUACCUACACUGAAUUGUGUGGGUUAAAAAAGGUUUGUAUCAGCAAUGGGGUACAUCCACCAGAAUUGUCAGCUCUCUGCUCUUUGUGGUUGUUGUCCAAAGUUGGCUUUGGUAGAAAUAUGACAAAUAAAAUGAAAAUAGAUUUA
This is a long non-coding RNA of Lagopus leucura (white-tailed ptarmigan), 1805 nucleotides long. RefSeq lists it as uncharacterized. The record is from RefSeq and is a predicted model, not a curated record. Lineage: Eukaryota; Metazoa; Chordata; Aves; Galliformes; Phasianidae. The transcript is spliced from 3 exons.